GCUUUAUGAAAACACCACCCUGAUUCAGUGAGCCAGAGGCAGCCUGCAGUCCCUGUUUUCCUGUAAAGGCAGAUUGCUGUGGAUGGCCUCUGGCCUCGUCAUGCAGCCCUGCUCAGAGUAGGGGAUUGAGGGUCCAGGCAGAUCCCUAGUUCCUUUUGACCUUUAUUGCCAUUGGGCUGCCCUAGGGUCCUUGGACUCUACCUGGUCUUCUGGCCUGGAUCAGGGGAUGUGAGGUUUGGAAUCCCCCCUCUGUGGCAGGAUCCCAGCCCCCCCCCAGCCACUUGAGGGCAGCACAUCCUUCCCUAGUUGUGUUGGAGAGGGAGAAUUCUCCCACCCAUCCUCAUCCUUGCUCAUUCUGCAUUUUGUAGCUUGAUACCUGAGGACUUUAUUCAUUGACUUAGUGGUUAGUCAUGAUGGUUGCUAAGACUAAGUGACUCUUUCAAGGUAGGGCUAGAGCAUUGAUCUUUGUAAGUGAUUGCAUGGGACUUUCUCAUGGAAAUUGUGACUGAUGUUGUUGUAUGAGGGGGGAGAAAUUGGCUUUUGGAAGUCGUCUCAUGAAUAGGAGACUCAGAAAUGGACAUCACAACUAAUGACAUCAUCGCCUUGAUGGAUCAAACAGGACAUGGAACCCUGGUAACCAGACACACACUUCACUAAGGAAGCCAUCCCAGCUUACUUUGUUUCAGACUCUGGAGUGAGAAGGAUGUUCUCCUGUGGCCCCCAGGAGUCUCCAGGGUAGAUUGUGCAGCCUUUCCUUUGUGGGGGAAGACUGGGAGAGGAUUCAUGUUAGAUGCUAGAGUCUCUGGCGAUGAUCCCAGAGAAACUCAAGAAUGAGUAGCACAGGGCAGGUAGGCCCAGCAGGCCCUUUUGUCUGAAUGGCCCAGGACUCAUUCUGUGUGUGUGUGUGUGUGUGUGUGUAAAAUUAUGUGAACUGUCCCAUUGUGCUUUUACUUCACAGUAUUGGAAUAAGUCCUUUUCCUGUUUGCUACUAUUUCCCAUUUGAACCCAUCAUUUUUGAUACCAGUGCAAAAAUGAGCUAGAUCAGAACAUGGAUGAGCCCUGCAGGGUAGAGACUCUUGAAGCUUAUAAGCAGAACCAGCUCAUGAAUCAGCUUGUGCACAUCGUUUGUGGCAGGAACUCAAAUUUUGGCAGCACCUUUGGGUCCAUCUACUCGGAUUUCAUCCCCACCCAGCAGGUCCUGGACCUGCUGUUCUCAAGCCUCUAGGCUCUCUGAUUCUCCAGAUGCUGCUGCCAUACAUGCACCUGCUCCUGGGUGGCUUGAACAUGAAGCACCAAGCAUACCACCUGCUGUCCCAGAUUGAUGAUGGGAAGUCAAGCAAGGCAGAGCCUGAGUACCAGGCGGACUGGGGUGUGUAUCUAAGGCUACAAGCUCAGUUCCAAUGAAGGCUCCUAAGCCAACCCCAGAGCUAGAGCCUUCUCCAGGAAUGGCUCCGGUGCCCUGGGAAGGAGCAGCAACAGCAUGUCAUCCAGAGCUGGAGUCCAGGAAAUCAGGUGUCUCCACUAGGUAUUCCUCAUGGCCCCUGUACAACAAGUGGGUGGGAGGCAGCUGCCACAUUCAUGUCUUCCUGGAAAACCAAAGCACAACAAAGUAGAGCAUCCUGGUGAGUCUUCGAGCAGGGGAGUCUCCUGGGAGCCCACAUUGGGGAAGACCGAGUCCACUGCAAACAUCUUGGACUAGGCAUGUCUUUUUGAAUUAGAGCUGCUGUAAGGUCAAUAAGGAGAGCAGAAAAUGAGGAAGAGAGAGGCCAGAGCUUGACUUUAGAGGUGGGAGAGCAGCAGCAUGCCAGGUCUGGGUGGGAGUGGGCCUGCAUGUUUUGGGGUAUGUAGGCCAAAAGUGCAGAAGCAAGUGCUGAGUUCAGAGGAGGUCAGAGAAAUAACUAGGGUACAGGCUGUCCUCUAUUGGCCUUGGUAUUGUUGAUGAAUGUGUUGGAUCUAGGAGGUUGGAGCAGAGGAGGUGGCAGUCAUUUUUUUUGUGUGUGGGAGAGGAUAUGUUUCUGGUUAAGGGAAAGGAGCCUUCUUAGCAUGAUUUGAUUAGGUAGCUGUAGGUCACAGAAAACUGGGAGCCUCACACAAGGCCACUAGUUUCAAAGUUUGCAUGUACAUAUAUGGGGAGAUAGAGACUCUCUUGCAGAAUAUUUGUGGGUGUGGAUUAUCUGCAGUGGGCUCCAGGUGUCCAGCAACAGAGGAGCCAUGUUCAAACACUGCCCCUGCUGGGCCUGUACCUUCUUAUAUCCCAGCAUGCACUGAGACUCUAGAGGCCAGCAGCUCUCAUGGCUAUCAUUAAAGAGUCACCAGCAAGCUCUGGUCUAGGUUUGUGCCUGAUCUGCACACAAAUGCAGCCGCAUCCCAGACCACAGCAGGGAUAUAGGAGACCACUGGAUCAUUCCUCCCAUCUUGAUGGGACUAGAGUGUGUCUGUGCAAAGCCUGUUUGGUCCUUGUUCCCUUCUCCCUGUAGGGCAUAGCAGGUUCAAGCAGACUCUUGUACCAAGAUUGGGCUAGAAGCACAUAGGAAGGCCCCACAUAGUCACAUGAAGUUCUCAGGUAGCAGGGUAACAAGAUGGUGCCCUUGUGUUGAGAGCUCAGUUGUCUCUGAUUGUUCUUGAGCAAACUCCUUCUCUGACGAGCUUUCUCCAAUCCUGCUCGGGUGACAUGCCAGGACAGGGCUCUGACCAUCAUCCGCAGGGCUUUAGAUGAACACUUGCUCCAGCAGGAGGAUCCAGAAAACUUUGAGCUUCUGUAUAUUGGCUCAAGCACCAAAGUAUUGGUGGCCAAUGAGAACAGGACAGUAUCUAGGUUGUAGGUUCCCUGUAUGAGAUGGAGGAUACUGGCGUCCAUGGAGGAGAAUAGCAGUAUGAGAUUCUGCAUGUUUCUUGAACAAGGAGCUGAGAGGGUCUCUCUGCAGAGUCGAUUGGAUGUGGAGAAAGUACACAAAAUGUCCAGGUAACCCAAUGACCACCCUUGCCAAUGAGGUGUCCUCCUACACCCCAGCCAGCACUGAGCCUCUGGAGGCCAAGAGCUCUCGUGACUAUCUUUCAACACUCCUGUGUAUGGUCAUGUUCCUGGGUCUGUUUUGGGCCCUGGAAAUCCAGACCAAAGCCUCUAGGUUUUGUGCCUGAGCCAUUCCCAAUGUAGCCUGCAUCCUUGGGCAGACCUGGGAUCUUGGAGGCUACUGUCCCAUUCCUCCCAUCUUGGUGGGAUGAGAUUAUGUCUGUAUACAGGUUGUGUGGUCCUUUCAUCUUGAGUGAAAUAUGGCCCCACAAAAAGAUCAACGGUAGGUCCAGGCAGUCCUUUGUCCAAGGAUUGGGCUAGCAGCCCAUUGGUCAAGUUCACAUGAUUAUCAGGAGGCCAAUCUCAGGACAUAGGUCAUGGUCAUGGAUGUUGCCCUUGUAUUUAGAGCUGAGGUGCCUCCUGAGUGUCUCUGUCCACUGUCCUUGAGUAGCCACUUCAAAACCAAUUUCCAGCAUGUCUGUCUCCCAUGCUGCUCCAGGUAGCCUGCCAGGAGCAGGGCCCUCGAGCUGAACUUCCUAAAUCAUCUCCAACCAUUGUAGUAAGUGGGACUAUCAGAUGGCAGGGAGCAAAGAUUAGGAUGUGGACUUAGGUCGAAUCUUAUCCACAAAGAGUAGUCUCUGACCCUCAAGAACACUCCAACAGGGUGUAUUGGGGCUCGUGCAUAAAGCAAACUGCACUUCUGCUGGUGGAAAGUCUCGAGGUUCUAUGGUAUGCUCCAGUGGCUAGUGGGGCUCCCCACCAGGUGCCCUCCCCUGGACAUGAACGGGCAUCCAAAGCUGACAUCAGUGAGGAGUGAGGAGGAAAGCCUCUUUCCAGGAGCAGUAUGGCUCCGUGGUCUGGGAUAGGAGUGGUUUCAAAGGAAUGUGGGAAUGCAUGGGCUAAUGAUGGAACUGGCAUUUUGUGGACUGAAGCAGUACUAUUGAAAGCCUUCUGUGUGACCAGAAAACCACUGCCUGGGCAGAGCAUUGCCAGGAUACUAGCAAGCAGUAACAGGAUGAAAUUGGGAAGAAAACACAGCCUGGGAGACAGCCUGAAUCUUCUGUGUUUGGACAUAUCCAUGGUCUUCCGCACCUGAGUUCACUUGCCAAGGAGUGAUCAUAAUAGCCAGGUUAUGACCCCUAACUAAAGUCAGAUGAGGGCUUGCUGAGCACGUCUGUCACAAAGCUCAUCUGAUAAUAAUGCCAGUGCUCUUUUUUUUUUUUUUGAGACAAACACCCACAGCAGCCAUGAUCCCAGCCUAUCUACACUGAAAGCUACCAACUCUAUGUGAGUUCUAGGUUAAAUUUUCUCCUAUCUUAACCUACUAAGUCUGUUGGGUUAGUAGAGUCUUAUGGAAGAGGAAGUAUGUGGCCUUGGUAGCCUAAGAAAUUGAUAGCAGAGAUCCAAACAUCCAACCCAGAAGGGAUGGAAUACAGGCUCUAAGAUAGAGGAGGCCGGCAGGAAACAGGUGUUCAGAGGAAGAAGAAGCUGGCUGUUGUAUUCCCCCACUGGACCAAAGCACUGCUGAACCAUAGCACCAUGUUGGAGGGAAGCAGUCCCUUUGCUGAUCUUUGGAGCCAUUGUUCUCAGUAGGGCAGCAUUUGGGAUGUGGCCACAAUUCUGGGAAGCCUGGUCCACAUGGAGGCGGGCACCAACAAUGGCAGAAGCAUGGCUCAAAUAUGGUAUCUGUUCUGGUCAGCCUGUCCUCACUGUGGCCUUACUUGAGGAAAAUAACUCAGAGGAGGAAUCCUAGGCCUUUUCUCCGGGUUUCAUAGCUUUCUCUUUGGUUGUGCACUGAAGCUGUCCAUAACGCUCUAGUGUGUGGCAAUGGAGAGCUCCUCAGCCCUUGCCACAAAGGCAUAGACUGGGAGCGAGAGAGAAUGAGGCUGGGAGAGAGAGAAAUACAGAUAGGAGGUAGAGGAUGAAUACUACCAGAGAGAUUGAGCAUUGAGAGGAUCCAACAGGGCCAAGAUAGUUACCAAAGGCAAAACCUAGUCAGGUCUUCCUCCACCCAUGCCCAAUCUUUCUUCCAGUCCCUCCCACCUCCCAGUAGUGGAUUCAUCUUGAAUGAGAAUUUCAUGAUGUCAUCAGAGCACUCACCAUUGAAUGCUUCCCUCCAAACUCACCUGUGAAGAUGGCUGAUGUGGGGACCAAAUCGUCGGCACACAAGCCUUUUUUGGGAGAUUCCAGAUGCCAACCUAGUGGUGUGCUUUUGUAGAUCCAGGAGAAACUGGAAGGUUCUGCAGUCUAAAACCGUUGGAAGCAACAGAUCUUAGUUCUGUUGAAGUGCUCUGCAUAGUUUUUCCUCAGGGAAGACUACUGUGGAUGUCUUUGUUGGUAUUGGAGCUGAAUUGGAGAGCUCUCAGGUCUGUGGCUCAGGUCCUUCCUGACAUAGGUUCUCCCAUGUUGGGGGUUCAUGUGGUGCACCUAUUGAGUGCCACUUUCCAUCCUGAUACCCCUCUCCCCAGAGCUGAAGAUUCCUCAUGACAUAAAUGUUUUCUAUGUCAUGAAUUCUCACAUUCAAUAUGACUUUGUGCUGAGGAAGAGGACCAUCCCAAAGGAGAAGGAUGAGUGGAUCCAGGCCAACCUCCCCCUUAUGAUGCAAUGGAGGCUCAAUCUCUCUACCGGAUCCUUUGAAGAACAAUUUGCUACUGUCUGGCUGGGCAGUGCUGAACAUCCCAUGAUCAUUGACAUUCACUUCUUUUAGUAUUUGCUUCAAACUUUUCAAGUUGCCAAUCUAUAAUUUGACGUUAGUUCUUUGUUAUUUAUUCCCUUUCGUAACACAUUCAUUAUGAUAUCAUUUGUCGUUUAAACCA
Non-coding RNA from Ictidomys tridecemlineatus (thirteen-lined ground squirrel), 5826 nucleotides. Lineage: Eukaryota; Metazoa; Chordata; Mammalia; Rodentia; Sciuridae. The record is from RefSeq and is a predicted model, not a curated record.